CCUACGGGAGGCAGCAGUGAGGAAUAUUGGUCAAUGGACGAGAGUCUGAACCAGCCAAGUAGCGUGAAGGAUGACUGCCCUAUGGGUUGUAAACUUCUUUUAUAAAGGAAUAAAACGAGGCACGUGUGCCUUUUUGCAUGUACUUUAUGAAUAAGGAUCGGCUAACUCCGUGCCAGCAGCCGCGGUAAUACGGAGGAUCCGAGCGUUAUCCGGAUUUAUUGGGUUUAAAGGGAGCGUAGAUGGGUUGUUAAGUCAGUUGUGAAAGUUUGCGGCUCAACCGUAAAAUUGCAAUUGAUACUGGCAGUCGUGAGUACAGUUGAGGUAGGCGGAAUUCGUGGUGUAGCGGUGAAAUGCUUAGAUAUCACGAAGAACCCCGAUUGCGAAGGCAGCUUACUAAACUGUGACUGACAUUGAUGCUCGAAAGUGUGGGUAUCAAACAGGAUUAGAUACCCCAGUAGUG
Molecule: ribosomal RNA, 460 nt
Filed under: uncultured bacterium
Lineage: Bacteria
Description: partial 16S ribosomal RNA
Rfam family: Bacterial small subunit ribosomal RNA
Source: RNAcentral